UAUGCACACUAUUGUAAGUUGCUCUUGAUAAGAGCGUCUGCUAAAUGACUACAU
Non-coding RNA from Salmo salar (Atlantic salmon), 54 nucleotides. The record is from Rfam. Lineage: Eukaryota; Metazoa; Chordata; Actinopteri; Salmoniformes; Salmonidae.